GGGAGGUUGGCGGUGGACGAGCCACUCGCCAACCGGGUCAGGUCCGGAAGGAAGCAGCCCCAACGAGACCGUCUCGGGUUGCCGAUCAGCCUCCCACC
This 98-nucleotide signal recognition particle RNA is filed under the name Rhizobiales bacterium 17-65-6. Its description in RNAcentral is "signal recognition particle sRNA small type". It matches the Rfam family "Bacterial small signal recognition particle RNA". From Rfam's summary of the family: The signal recognition particle (SRP) is a universally conserved ribonucleoprotein involved in the co-translational targeting of proteins to membranes. RNAcentral also lists the same sequence under 9 other names. Lineage: Bacteria; Pseudomonadati; Pseudomonadota; Alphaproteobacteria; Hyphomicrobiales. The record is from RNAcentral.